Acanthosepion pharaonis is the source of this 113-nucleotide non-coding RNA. The record is from the annotation of a GenBank genome assembly. Lineage: Eukaryota; Metazoa; Mollusca; Cephalopoda; Sepiida; Sepiidae.
UACGGCCAGGCGAGGCUGAAACACCAGUUCCUUUACGGCAACCGAAGUUAAGCAACGUCGAGCCUGGUCAGUAUCUAGAUGGGUGACCGCUUGGGAAUACCACGUACUGUAAG